Molecule: ribosomal RNA, 253 nt
Filed under: uncultured bacterium
Lineage: Bacteria
Description: partial 16S ribosomal RNA
Rfam family: Bacterial small subunit ribosomal RNA
Source: RNAcentral
UACGUAGGGUGCGAGCGUUGCCCGGAUUUAUUGGGCGUAAAGGGCGCGUAGGCGGUGAGAUGCGUCCGUUGUGAAAUCGCCCGGCUCAACUGGGCGGGGUCAGCGGAUACGGUCUCACUUGAGCAAGCUAGGGGGCAAUGGAAUUCCCGGUGUAGUGGUGGAAUGCGCAGAUAUCGGGAGGAACACCAGUGGCGAAGGCGGUUGCCUGGGGCUUGGCUGACGCUGAGGCGCGAAAGCGUGGGGAGCGAUCCGG